Molecule: RNase P RNA, 325 nt
Filed under: Robiginitalea biformata HTCC2501
Lineage: Bacteria; Pseudomonadati; Bacteroidota; Flavobacteriia; Flavobacteriales; Flavobacteriaceae
Description: Bacterial RNase P class A
Rfam family: Bacterial RNase P class A
About the family: Ribonuclease P (RNase P) is a ubiquitous endoribonuclease, found in archaea, bacteria and eukarya as well as chloroplasts and mitochondria. Its best characterised activity is the generation of mature 5'-ends of tRNAs by cleaving the 5'-leader elements of precursor-tRNAs. Cellular RNase Ps are ribonucleoproteins.
Source: Rfam by way of RNAcentral
CGAGCAGGCCGGCUUAUCGCUCUUUGCGGAUGCAGGGGGAGGAAAGUCCGGACACCACAGUGCAGCAUAGCGGGUAACACCCGUCCCCCGACGGGCCCUGCCCGGUCGGGGAGGACCAGUGCAACAGAAAGUAUGUACAGUUCGGCUGUAGUGAAAUCAUGUAAACUCUAUGCGGUGAAACGCCAUGUAGUCCAGCGACCGAGGGCGGCACGUCCGAGCUGGCGGGUAGGCGGAUCGAACCCGGGGGCAACCCCGGGUCCAGAUAAAUGAUAAGCGCCCCGGGCAACCGGGGAGACAGAAUCCGGCUUACAGGCCUGCUUUUUUA